Long non-coding RNA from Clarias gariepinus (North African catfish), 343 nucleotides. RefSeq lists it as uncharacterized. The transcript has 3 exons. The record is from RefSeq and is a predicted model, not a curated record. Lineage: Eukaryota; Metazoa; Chordata; Actinopteri; Siluriformes; Clariidae.
UUCAACAUCAAAUCAAACAUAUUGUUUUGCUUUAGUCACCAUAAUUCUGUUCAGGUACCUGCCAAGCAUGUCUCCAACAGAGUCUGCAGAUCCCCCUGGUGCUGCUCCUCUUCACACAGUCUCAGCAGUCUGAAGAAUGAGGAGAGACACAGGGGAGAUACAUGCCUGGAGGAAAGGAGAGAUGGUGAUGAGCAAGAGAGAAAACACAAAGAGAGAUCAAGUGCAUGCAAAUCUCCUUAGCCAUUAGAGGCAGCAGGUUAAUGGCGAUUCCUCCCUGACUUUCAUCUUCAUCCAGAUUGUACGAAGCUGAGGCAGUGAAUGGAAAUGAGCUGCCACACACAAA